GUUUCCGUAGGUGAACCUGCGGAAGGAUCAUUGUCGAAACCUACCGAGCAGAACGACCCGCGAACCAGUACAGCAACCAUCGGGUGUGCUUUGUGGCCGGCCUCGCCGCCCCCACUCAGUGCCCCCCUCGCCAGGUGCGCGGCCGCUUAGCCGGCUAAGCACGCCUCGGCGGGAAAACGAACAAAAACCCCGGCGCGAAUUGCGUCAAGGAACUUUAACAAGAGAGAGAGAGAGGCGCGCGGCCCCCCCGUCCGUCCUCGUUCGCGAGCGACGUUGCUUGGGGGGUGCAGCCGCAUCUUCUUUCACGAACAAACGACUCUCGGCAACGGAUAUCUCGGCUCUCGCAUCGAUGAAGAACGUAGCGAAAUGCGAUACUUGGUGUGAAUUGCAGAAUCCCGUGAACCAUCGAGUCUUUGAACGCAAGUUGCGCCCGAAGCCACUAGGCCGAGGGCACGCCUGCCUGGGCGUCUCACAUCGCGUCGCCCCACGCCCGGUUUGGCCCGCGAAGGGUCCCCGGGUUGAUGGGGCGGAGUUUGGCCCCCCGUGCGCCGCCCCGGUGCGCGGUCGGCCCAAAGAUGAGCCCCCGGCGACGAACGUCACGACGAGAUGUGGAUGUGCAAAACCGUUGCGUUGCGUCGUGCACGUGCUGUCCCGGGCCACCGACCCUCUGAGAAGGCACCGCGGUGCCUCGGCGGCGACCCCAGGUCAGGCGGGACUACCCGCUGAGUUUAA
RNAcentral lists this small RNA (732 nucleotides) under Sideroxylon mascatense. RNAcentral describes it as "eukaryotic LSU rRNA". The stretch from base 315 to 470 matches the Rfam family "5.8S ribosomal RNA". Lineage: Eukaryota; Viridiplantae; Streptophyta; Magnoliopsida; Ericales; Sapotaceae. The record is from RNAcentral.